CACGUUGUCUGUCUUCUUCUGCCUUCUCUUUCCUUGGGGAGAACCGUGGCUGCACUGGGAAGUCAGUGCAACGUUUGCUGCCCUCGGGGGCCACCAGACUUCUGCCGUGGCUGUGCAGGGAGCAACGAAGGCGCGGACUAUCACAUAGAUCCGGGAACUGCUGCCCUACGGUUGUGGUUGUGACAGGAAUUCGAUCUUCCACUCUUCUGUGAAAUGCAGCCGCUACCCCAGUGCUCACCAUGCUCUGGAGACCCCGUAUUGGAGACCGGUCCCAAUGGGUCCGCGGGGAUCAGAGCCCAGUGCUCCUCUGACUUCACCUGCCGGCUGUUUGGCCACAAACAGAACAGGGGUGAGAUAAACCCUAACGUCUGUCCUUUUGCAAAACAGAAAUACAUAUCUGUGCGUUGUGUCGUUGCUGGUUUUUUGCAGGCUCACUGCCGUGUUGGCUGAGCAGCCCCGCUGGAGGCGAUGAAGAGACUGGCGUUUGCACCUAAAUGAAGGUUUGGUUGGCUCCAAACAGAAAACAAAGAGAAAACAAACCCAAGUUCUCUGCCAGCAGGGAAGGACAAGAAAGACGGUUACAGGAGCCACCAUUUGGAAAGUGCUGCAGUUGUGCAGUGAUUGAACAGGUCAGCGUGAAGACAUCCGUGCAAGAGAAACACAGAUGUAUUUGAAAUGUGGCCAGAGACAGGGUAUGCACAAAGAUAGCAUCAGAGCUGAAGUCACGUGGAUAAAGACCUAAGAGAGGAACCUUUGAAAAUUUACUCUCAUCAUACACCUAUACAUUUGAAUUUCUUUACACCAGGAAAAGAAAACCAAAACAGAAGCAAAGUACCUGCCACGCAGUGUCACCAGCUUGCUCGCACAAGUCCAUUGCAGUCCCCUCGUCUGCUGCAAACGUCUCGCCACCAGAGAGCACAUCAGAGCCAACAGUGACACUGCUGAUUCCAGCUGGCUGGAAAAAACACCUUCACCCUCCUUUGUGCUGCUUUCAGACAUGUGACCUUGCUUAAUUAAUUGAACUAAUUUUGUAGCUGGGGAUUGGCUUAUCAGGUGGUGCUUCAUCAACUGUCACCUUAGUGUUUUAAAUACAAAAAGACAGACCUUUUAAAUUAAUUUUAAAAACUAAAAAUUAAAUCCGAUGCUGUCCUUCAAGCAGCCAGCUGCGGUGGCUUGGAGGCUACUGUAGUACUUGUGGCUGCUAUAGCUGUAAUAUUUGCUCACGCUUUGCCUGCACAUGGGUGUGCAAGAGGGGACAGCUUUGUAAACUGUUCCUACAGCCAGUGGCUGCUCUUUCCUAACUCCAUCCAUCUAACCUACCCAUCACGGUCACUUUCUUUUGAUGCCUUUGUUCCCUGUGUCAGCUAGACACUAAGAAAUUUUCAUUAAGCAUGAGCAUAACGAGACUAUGAUUUAUGUCUUUCCAGCAUUAGGGCAUCAGCAAUCAGGGCAUCCUGGAAUCAAAUGCCACGGGAUCUGAGCAGGACUGUACCUCCCCUCCAGCCUCCCCUCCCUCCUCUUGUGUCAGGGACAGGUGCACCCAGCUGUGAGCUCUGAAAGAGGUGGAGCAAGGUGGGUAGAGGAGGAGGAGGAGGAGAACAAGCACAGAAGUGUCAUUCAGCUUAUGCAUUAUUCAUUAUUCGUGAAAGGCUGUAAACCAGACAGAUGAGCUGCAAAUACACAGUUCGUUCACUCACAUGAAAUGCUCCUCCAUCUUCAGCUAUUCCGUCUUGCUUCCAGGGGCCACACUGUGCAUAAUCAGCCUGCGGAUCAGGAGACUGGGUCCCUAAAUCUUUCAAGGGUUUAUUUUAUGUAGAAUUAGAAAUUACAGCUGCUCUACAAGGUUAGUAGUGUGCGCUGUCUUAGGCAUAAAUAAGUCUUCAGAGAAACAAAGAUACAAUGGCUUAUUGUUUUAAAAUCACACUGAAAGCAUGAAAUUUGGUAAUUUGCCAAGUCCAAUGUGAUGUAUUAAUCAAAAAAAUCCAAGAAAAGGGAGAAAUAAUUCUGGGCUAAUAUAACUCCAGGGGGGAGGGUAUCACUGGUACGUAACAGCAGUACAAUACUGGAAAGAAUUUCCUUUGCUUGCCCUAGAAUAAGCUUCUAUAGAUGUCAGAGAAAUGCACUUAUUUUAUAAUAUUCAUCUCAGGACCUGCAGACAUAAAGGUGUCUGAGAGAGAAGUCUGUCUAAUAAAGCUAGAGUAAGAAGAAAUCCAAUACGAGAAACAGUUGUUAAUCCAAAAUGAUAAAUACAUUUCUAUUCAUGAACUCCUGUGAGAAAGGAAAAUUAGGAAAAUUAACGUUCUGGCUAACUUUUCAAUGCCCUUCCUUUAACAUCUAUCAUCUUAGCAUAUGGAAUUUUGCAAGGAGUUUUAACGAUGUAACAAUAAUUCUCGUCAUCCUUCCUGCAAGACAUGUAUUUGCUUUGUGGCCCUGAGGUGCGUGCGUGAGGUACAACAAUGUACUUCGCGUCAGAAUGGAAUGCCAUAUCCACAGUAACCUGCAGCACUUAAAUGACACAGGCAUCAUGUGCAGUAGUAUGCCUUUUAGGACACUAUCAGUGCAUCUAAUAGCUAGCAAAUAAUUACAGUCCUUGCAGCAAGAUGUGGACAUUUGAUGGGUUUUGAAAUUAUAUUUUUCUUUAUACUGAGGUGGAAUUAAAAAAGGAAGAGUAGAGUGAAUAAGUAUUUCUUCAGAGCAUGUCAGAAGAAACCAUGAAGGCUCUUUGCUGUAGACUUUUCCUGUGUAUAUACAAGCCCAAGUGUGCUGCAAACACCUUACCAGUAGAUUUAGCACAUCGACCUGUACCAAGGACAUUAGAAGAAUCAAGGCCAAGGGUGUUGACUUCGACUUGGGUACUUCUAGCACCAAGAGGGCAAUAAUGGUAACUACAUACAAUCAGCGUGCAGUUCUUUACCCCUUUUUUACCUUUAUUUCUUUACCCUUUACUACAACGGGUAAAGAAAUGCUUUGGGCUGAUCAUAGUGUCCUCUGCUUCCUUAGGGUUACAGCUGUCACAGAUGAUGGUCUCACUUGAUUGUAGGCCCCCAUCAAAGAAGCGGCAACAUGGCAUCCGUGGGGAAACUGGGGCUCCGUUGUGCCAUGCUGGUCUGUUGCAGUGAUCUGUAGGGCGGCUAUUACUGAAAUGCAAGUGUUGAGAUGUAGUUAAGCAGGAAACUAGCCUGGAGGUCAUCAGAGUCUCACCAUAGAUCAGGUGUAAUAGGUUCUUAUGACCACCUCAAAGUGGUGCACUGGAGUCUGGAAUUUAUUGUGACACAUUAAAACCAAAAUAAAGUUGUUUCCCUGGGGAGAUUCUUGGUCCUGGAUCACUACUGACUGCCAAAACUGUUGAAGGAAUGAAGAGAAAACCAAAGAGCUUUCCUGCAGCCUCCUUAGACUCCAAUUGCUCAUUGUGACAUUUCAAAGCCAAAAUCCUAGCUAUUACAGUUGAGUCGUUCAGCUUCUUCACAAAACACGGUUAUCACUAGACUUGCUUUUGAAAGCUGCUGUAUUAUGAAAAAUAGAGAAACCAACUUUCCUUCUGUUCCAGAGCAACAAAAAAAUCUGUUUCUGAAAUCUGAAAAUUUAGGAACAAAGUGGAAACAGAUGUCAUGUGCAUACAAAAUGAGCUCCCAACCAAAAUAUCAUGAAAAAUAAGUGAAUUGCUAGGAAAACAUAGAUAUUCCUAAAUAUUUGCAGCUUCCAGGCAUCAGCAAACACAAUAUAGCAGAUUCAUGGAGAACUUUCUUUCUACACAAAAUAAGUGGACAAGCCAAAAAUUACUAAGAGGUAGCAAUCUUCAGUUGAGUGACGGUCAAGCAGAAACAAGCUCCCCUGGUGCUUGUGGACUGAUAUUAGCUGGCAGUCAGAGUCUGGAACAGGAGGAGCAGCUAGGAGACUUGUCGACCUGUGGUUCAGACCUUGUGGAGCUCUGGCCAUGACUAGGGUUGAGA
Falco peregrinus (peregrine falcon) is the source of this 3950-nucleotide long non-coding RNA. RefSeq lists it as uncharacterized. The record is from RefSeq and is a predicted model, not a curated record. Lineage: Eukaryota; Metazoa; Chordata; Aves; Falconiformes; Falconidae. The transcript is spliced from 4 exons.